CCCGUGUUUACUGUACCUUAGUUGCUUCGGCGGGCCCGCCAUUCGUGGCCGCCGGGGGCUCUCAGCCCCGGGCCCGCGCCCGCCGGAGACACCACGAACUCUGUCUGAUCUAGUGAAGUCUGAGUUGAUUGUAUCGCAAUCAGUUAAAACUUUCAACAAUGGAUCUCUUGGUUCCGGCAUCGAUGAAGAACGCAGCGAAAUGCGAUAACUAGUGUGAAUUGCAGAAUUCCGUGAAUCAUCGAGUCUUUGAACGCACAUUGCGCCCCCUGGUAUUCCGGGGGGCAUGCCUGUCCGAGCGUCAUUGCUGCCCAUCAAGCACGGCUUGUGUGUUGGGUCGUCGUCCCCUCUCCGGGGGGGACGGGCCCCAAAGGCAGCGGCGGCACCGCGUCCGAUCCUCGAGCGUAUGGGGCUUUGUCACCCGCUCUGUAGGCCCGGCCGGCGCUUGCCGAACGCAAAUCAAUCUUUUUCCAGGUUGACCUCGGAUCAGGUAGGGAUACCCGCUGAACUUAAGCAUAUCAAUAAGCGGAGGAAAAGAAACCAACCGGGAUUGCCUCAGUAACGGCGAGUGAAGCGGCAAGAGCUCAAAUUUGAAAGCUGGCUCCUUCGGGGUCCGCAUUGUAAUUUGCAGAGGAUGCUUCGGGUGCGGCCCCUGUCUAAGUGCCCUGGAACGGGCCGUCAGAGAGGGUGAGAAUCCCGUCUGGGAUGGGGUGUCCGCGCCCGUGUGAAGCUCCUUCGACGAGUCGAGUUGUUUGGGAACGCAUCUCUAAAUGGGUGGAAAAUUUCAUCUAAAGCUAAAUACCGG
RNAcentral lists this ribosomal RNA (802 nucleotides) under Aspergillus flavus. RNAcentral describes it as "eukaryotic LSU rRNA". The stretch from base 474 to 802 matches the Rfam family "Eukaryotic large subunit ribosomal RNA", at positions 1 to 326 of the family's 3401-position model. The record is from RNAcentral. Lineage: Eukaryota; Fungi; Ascomycota; Eurotiomycetes; Eurotiales; Aspergillaceae.